UUUCGCAGAUAACUAGUGAUAGGACAAGAGGGAAUGGCCUCAAGUUGCACCAGGGGAGGUUUAGAUUGGAAAUGAGGUGACAUUUGUUCUUAGAAAGAGUAGUUAGGCAUUGGAAUGGUUUGCCCAGGGAGAUGUGGUGGAGUCACCAUCCCUGAGGGUGUUUAAGGAGAGGUUGGGCUUGAUGCUUAGGGACACAGUUUUGUGAGUGACAUUGGUAGUAGGGUGAUGGUUGGACCAGAUGAUCUUGGAGGUCUUUUCCAACUUUGAUAAUUCUAUGAUUCUUUGAUUCUAUGAUCUCCACUUCCAAGGCUCCCUUUCUUGGAAACUCACCAGACGAAACCAGAUAGUGUAUCAGACUAAAAGCCAGCUGCAAUUUUGCUGAAAACAGUGGAAAGUUGUGAGAAUUAAAGUUGUGUUUUUGCAGUGGAAAAUUCCACUAACCUUGCUUAUUCAGAAGUCAUUUUUCAGGCAUAACAGUGGCGUAACAGUGGGGAGUAUGUUAAGCAGAUCAAGAGACAGUGGAAGGUUCCACUGUUCCAAAAUAAGGAGGAUGGCUAAGAAAAACAAGACAAGCAGUUGUGGAAUCAGCAAGAAGAAAAAAAACACGGGCCCUUCCAGCCAAGAGAGAAGAAGAAAAAAGGGGAAAAGGAGAUAUUAAAGCCUUCAUUUCUGCAGCUACAACUGCUUGUGGAGUCAUGUCAAACUCAAUUACUGAACUGAUUCCACUUAGAGAUAGCCUUCUGAGAUAAGAUAAAAUAAACCAUGGGUCUGAGCAACACAGAACCAGGCAAGAUAGGAGCCCCUCCCUUCAACUUCACUUCAAAGCGAAAAGAAACAUUUCAGCUCAUUUUUCAUUGGUUCUUGGACUAGAUGACGGGGAUGAAGAACUUGAGUGGUGACAGCAAAGAAUAAGAACUGAUUCAGACAGAAGAGAAUGCCCUCAAACUUGUGUGAAAGAUAUAGUAGAGGCAAAGAGAACAUGUCCAGUGCUGCUAAGGAGUAAUGCUGUUUCGUCAGUCCUGCAUCACCAGUCUGCAGCAAAACCAAUGGCAGCAUCAACACCAAGAUAACCAGGCUGAUCACGUACCACCCCACUUCCCUCACUUCUCAGAACUAUGGUAAGAACAUUUGCUCAUGAAUAUUGUCAAAGCCCAGGUGCUGGGUUGCCAGGAUGUAGUGAAACCCAUUGUGGAACAGGGAAACUUAACCACAUAUGAAAUAUUGCAUGUCAAAUCAAGCAGCUGCAAGUCCUCAGUGGGACUUCAGACUGGAAUUGCUGCUGGAUGGCAAACUCCCUGAUCCUCAGGAAUGCCUCCACCAUUGUCCUCUUCCUCUGAGGACUGAGAGAUUGACUUGUGUUUUUCUAGUCGAGUUCCAAGUCUAGAUUAUGGUUAUAGUAUUGUGCACUGAUUAUUCAGAAUUUGACCUGUUAUGCAGAGGGUCCAGGUGACUAACAAUUCUAGAUGACUAAAAACUGCAGAUAAUAAUAAAACCAUGCUAAUUACUAAAAUUGAUGUGUAUAAAUAACCUGCAUUAUUUACUAAAGAAAAAGUAUAACGACAAGCUGUGCUGAUUGUUAAUAUUUUUAUGCAAUAAUAAAGCUCUAGUUAUAACCACAACCCUGUGGCCAGUCCUCAUUCUACCCAGGAUCCCUAAAAAAACCUGCCUGUCCCCGUAGUGUUGUAUGACAGACAUUUUGCCUGUAUUUCCAUAAUCUGACAUAAUGAUUCAGCAAGUAAUCAAGACUCCAGAUCCAUGAUCCAAGCCAGUUUGGGCCACUUAAAUGAGUCACAAAGUACUGGUGCUCAUUCUGAGGAAAACAAGCAGUGCCUCAUCAUGUCCUUCAAAUGGGCAAUAUAGCAAUAAUGAGGGAAGAACCUGCUCUAAAUAUAACAAUUCUGGAGGGUCUAGAUGGAUGAUUUUCUGCUAAAGACAAGACAUUUUUAUUUUCGUCCUCCCUAAUUUCCCCAAAGUAUUCAGUACUGUUGCCAUGCCAAAGGGGAUAUACCCUGUGAAUCACACCGGAAAGCUGUGUGUCCAUGUCUAGAUGCCUCAAAUAUAGCUACUCAAAGCUGCUUUCAAAAGCUGUAUGCAAUCUUUAGAUUUCCUGGUCAGAUGUCAUAGAUUCAAGUAUAUUACUGAUGAAGUGCAAUUCUUUCUAUUCCUCAUUGUGUGCAAAA
This is a long non-coding RNA of Cygnus olor (mute swan), 2180 nucleotides long. RefSeq lists it as uncharacterized. NCBI's taxonomy places the organism in Eukaryota, Metazoa, Chordata, Aves, Anseriformes, Anatidae. The transcript is spliced from 3 exons. The record is from RefSeq and is a predicted model, not a curated record.